Long non-coding RNA from Uranotaenia lowii, 1614 nucleotides. RefSeq lists it as uncharacterized. NCBI's taxonomy places the organism in Eukaryota, Metazoa, Arthropoda, Insecta, Diptera, Culicidae. The record is from RefSeq and is a predicted model, not a curated record. The transcript is spliced from 4 exons.
GUGUUGUGCUACCGAGAAACUCGGGCAGUUGCUCCAUUAAAUGGUAAAAGUCGUCGUGACGGCCGGUUUCCAUCGGGUAGAAGCUGCAUACUAGAUCGAAAUUAUCACCGGUCAAUAGCGCAGAUUCUGAGGACAACAAAGGUGUCAAUACUUCCGACCUGCAGCAGCGGCUAAACAGUGCCACCCUGAAAAAGUGCCCCGUCUGCUGGAAGAAGUGUGAAAAAAACAUUUCCGAAGAGACCGAAGAAGCAUCCGGAGCUGCUCAACAAACUCGACGGCUUUCGCAGCCUAAUGGAUUACUGCGGUACUCUCCAGCAAACAAAACCCUCAAGCAACAGAUACAGAAAACGAGUGACCAUAAUAAACCAGCACCGAUAAGGAAAUCAAGAAUCGUCGGAAUGCAUCAGCAUCUUGAUGGGGAUCAACCAGCCGGAUAACGAUGGAAUCCAAGGGUAGUGUUUGGAACCGACAUUUAACAAACCUGAUACCGAUUUUACGCAUUCAUAAAUGAGCUCACUGACCCGCUGGUUUCAUCGACCAUCUGAUUCGUUGAGGGCCCCACUACUCACGAACUUUUAUCUAAGAUUAUUGCCGAAGCCAAGAAACAGCUGACAAAUGCCAUCUAGGAGCUGCAAACUAACAAGAUGGAUGGUAAUUUAUUGUCGGAUUGAUGCAAGUGGUCGAAAGUCGAUGGGAAUCCGCUGGUGCAUUUAAGGGUCAUAGCACGAAACCAGCACAAUAACACCAAAAGUGCGACAGCAACUACCAGACAGCAACAUCAUCUUGUACAGAUGCGUGGUAGUCUUCACAUUUUCAAUCAAUGGCCCGUGUAGGGAUCCGUUAGAAUGUCGUUCAUAAAAUAAUUAUCAGAUCGGUGAUAUUCUGCUCAACAUGCACGAACGAGGAAAUAUGAAGCCUAUAAUCGCGCACAGCUUUCCUGCUACGAAAUCAAUGUCGCCAUCCUUCUUCAUCAUGGCAGUUCCUGAAAUGUCGCGCACAUAAUUGUGCAAUUUAGUUUGCAACGGAAGAUCACCCAUCGGGAUACCUUCCGCGACUGAGUCAUCGAUGUUGCUUAUCUGGCAGGCUAUUGAGACUUACUGAGGAGAUUCUUAGGCCUAACCUGAGAGAAUGUGCGUAAGUAUUCAUUUCUUCAUUGGUGUCCUACUCAAUUAUAAUGGAUCAUGAACAGCUAAAGAAAAAAUGUUUCAAAUCAAUGUUGUGAGAAGUUCAAUUUAUCAUUUUUUUUUAAAUUUUAUAUAAGCUCUUCAUGAAUCAAGCAGAAUUUUAAUUAGGAGAUAAUUUAACUAAAAAAUUAUUCAACGAAAUCUAAUAGUUAAAAUAAACAUGUUUCAACAAUCAUUGUUUUAGCAUAACUGUUUUUCUUUGUUUGUGAUGUCUUUUGAUCAAGUUGAUUAAUAAUUUUGAUUAAACUGAUUGUAAAACCAAGCAUUGCGUAUAGUUCUCGAUUAAAUUGAUCAUGUUGCAAGUUUGUCUGUAUUGAUUGAGCCUGAAUAGGACGUUACAUAAAUCACGUAAAUAUGAUGGCCAGAAAAGGAUAACUUUUAUUCAUAGUACUUGGUUUUAAAUAAUCAAUAUUUCAUAAAAUUUUAUUGA